AGAGCUUGCUCUUAUGAAGUUAGCGGCGGACGGGUGAGUAACACGUGGGUAACCUGCCCAUAAGACUGGGAUAACUCCGGGAAACCGGGGCUAAUACCGGAUAACAUUUUGAACCGCAUGGUUCGAAAUUGAAAGGCGGCUUCGGCUGUCACUUAUGGAUGGACCCGCGUCGCAUUAGCUAGUUGGUGAGGUAACGGCUCACCAAGGCAACGAUGCGUAGCCGACCUGAGAGGGUGAUCGGCCACACUGGGACUGAGACACGGCCCAGACUCCUACGGGAGGCAGCAGUAGGGAAUCUUCCGCAAUGGACGAAAGUCUGACGGAGCAACGCCGCGUGAGUGAUGAAGGCUUUCGGGUCGUAAAACUCUGUUGUUAGGGAAGAACAAGUGCUAGUUGAAUAAGCUGGCACCUUGACGGUACCUAACCAGAAAGCCACGGCUAACUACGUGCCAGCAGCCGCGGUAAUACGUAGGUGGCAAGCGUUAUCCGGAAUUAUUGGGCGUAAAGCGCGCGCAGGUGGUUUCUUAAGUCUGAUGUGAAAGCCCACGGCUCAACCGUGGAGGGUCAUUGGAAACUGGGAGACUUGAGUGCAGAAGAGGAAAGUGGAAUUCCAUGUGUAG
RNAcentral lists this ribosomal RNA (620 nucleotides) under Bacillus cereus. RNAcentral's name for it is "bacterial SSU rRNA". It matches the Rfam family "Bacterial small subunit ribosomal RNA", at positions 75 to 678 of the family's 1533-position model. Lineage: Bacteria; Bacillati; Bacillota; Bacilli; Caryophanales; Bacillaceae. The record is from RNAcentral.